Molecule: ribosomal RNA, 468 nt
Filed under: uncultured bacterium
Lineage: Bacteria
Description: partial 16S ribosomal RNA
Rfam family: Bacterial small subunit ribosomal RNA
Source: RNAcentral
GACGAACGCUGGCGGCGUGCUUAACACAUGCAAGUCGAACGGAAAGGCCCUGCUUUUGUGGGGUGCUCGAGUGGCGAACGGGUGAGUAACACGUGAGUAACCUGCCCUUGACUUUGGGAUAACUUCAGGAAACUGGGGCUAAUACCGGAUAGGAGCUCCUGCUGCAUGGUGGGGGUUGGAAAGUUUCGGCGGUUGGGGAUGGACUCGCGGCUUAUCAGCUUGUUGGUGGGGUAGUGGCUUACCAAGGCUUUGACGGGUAGCCGGCCUGAGAGGGUGACCUGCCACAUUGGGACUGAGAUACGGCCCAGACUCCUACGGGAGGCAGCAGUGGGGAAUAUUGCACAAUGGGCGGAAGCCUGAUGCAGCAACGCCGCGUGCGGGAUGACGGCCUUCGGGUUUUAAACCGCUUUCGCCUGUGACGAAGCGUGAGUGACGGUAAUGGGUAAAGAAGCACCGGCUAACUACGUG